AGUGAUUUUAAGAUCAGGUCAUGAGAGUGACCAAGACAUUGAGUGGAGGAAUUCUCAAAUGGGUAAGAAGCCCAGCUCCCUGGUGUGGAGAUGGGCGUGGAAUGUGAGUGCCUAGUGGGCCACUUUUGGCAAGCAGAACUGGCGCUGCAGGAUGAACUGAAGGCUGAGUUAAGGCGCCCAAUGCCGACGCUCAUCAGACCCCAGAAAAGGUGUUGGUUGAUAUAGACAGCAGGACGGUGGCCAUGGAAGUUGGAAUCCGCUAACAAGUGUGUAACAGCUCACCUGCCAAAUCAACUAGUCCUCAAAAUGAAUGGCACUGGAGCGCCAGGCCCAUACCCAGCUGUCGCCAACAAUGAGUGCCAAGGGGGGCUAUGCCGUGAUGAGUA
RNAcentral lists this non-coding RNA (386 nucleotides) under Chelonia mydas (Green sea turtle). Its description in RNAcentral is "Eukaryotic large subunit ribosomal RNA". It matches the Rfam family "Eukaryotic large subunit ribosomal RNA", at positions 1012 to 1383 of the family's 3401-position model. The record is from Rfam by way of RNAcentral. Lineage: Eukaryota; Metazoa; Chordata; Testudines; Cheloniidae.